AGAGACAGCAGCCGCCACGGUAAUACAGAGGGUGCGAGCGUUAAUCGGAUUUACUGGGCGUAAAGCGUGCGUAGGCGGCUUCUUAAGUCGGAUGUGAAAUCCCUGAGCUUAACUUAGGAAUUGCAUUCGAUACUGGGAAGCUAGAGUAUGGGAGAGGAUGGUAGAAUUCCAGGUGUAGCGGUGAAAUGCGUAGAGAUCUGGAGGAAUACCGAUGGCGAAGGCAGCCAUCUGGCCUAAUACUGACGCUGAGGUACGAAAGCAUGGGGAGCAAACAGGAUUAGAUACCCGUGUAGUCCCUGUCUCUUAUAC
Molecule: ribosomal RNA, 309 nt
Filed under: uncultured bacterium
Lineage: Bacteria
Description: partial 16S ribosomal RNA
Rfam family: Bacterial small subunit ribosomal RNA
Source: RNAcentral